GCAUCCUUUCGUUGUCUAAUGGGGAUGGAUGGGGUUGGGAAUUGCGGGAAAUGUAGUAAGUCUAGAAACAGAAUUUUCUUCUGCUUCGGAAAAUUUAUUUCUCUACAGUCUAGGAAUGCCCAUCCCAUGUUUAUGUUGCCCUCACUGCCGUGGUUCUCAGGCAAACAACGUGGUUGUAAUUUUCAAAUGUAUCCACUCUGCAUCCACCAUCCUAGCAUUCUUCAUUACGACGUGUCCGUAGGCGAAUUCCUUCCUGCUUAAAAUGAAGGUCUUGAUUGGUGCACAGCUUUGGAUUAUGUAUCCAGCAAUGUGAAAAGAAAAAGAAUCUUGUGGUAUCAAACUGGAAGUUUCCUGUGGUGUAUGUACCAGUGUACUUUACUUUGUUGCAGUCCUGGUUUCAUCCAAUUAGAACUCGGGAAUUGGGCUUUCUCCUCACAGGUACAAUCCAUUCUAUAAUUGGUCGGAAAUUAUAAUGGCAAGCAACACCAUUGGCUCGGGUUUAUAUUUUACAAAUUCGUGUCCGUAAGGUGCGUUUCGUGUCAAAUGUUUUCCAAUCUAAUAGAGUUUCAGAUGGAUGAGAUCAACCCGAGUUCUUCGUUUGAAAGUAUGUGACCGAAACUUAUGUAAGAUUCGAAUAUGGUAAUAAAUUUAUGUCGGAUAAAAACAUUAGCAGAUAUUGCAUAUUCGAUGGUGUUGCACAAAGCGUCGUGAUUAUGAAUGAAGUUAAAUCAACUCGUGUAUAUCUGUUCAUCCAUGCUCUGGGUGGUUUGUGGUUAUAAAAUUUAUAUUCUGAAUCAAUAAUUUAUUUCAAAAGUAAAUGUAGGCCUAAUCUUCAUUUAUUAUGUAAUGUUAUGUAAAUAUCGCUAAAUAUUAACCUGGCUUUUUGUCAUCAA
Molecule: long non-coding RNA, 893 nt
Filed under: Daphnia pulex (common water flea)
Lineage: Eukaryota; Metazoa; Arthropoda; Branchiopoda; Diplostraca; Daphniidae
Description: uncharacterized LOC124200774, transcript variant X2
Source: RNAcentral